ACUUGCUCUGGGGAAAGCCAGCUGCCAUCAGGUGGGGACACUAGAGGAGCCCCAGGGAGCUCCCAUAUGGCAAGGAACUGAGACCUGCUGCCAACACCCAGGACCAAUUUGCCAUCCAUGAGAGUGGGCCGUCUCGAAAGUGGGAGAAUGUGGUCAGUGUUUCAGCCAGUGCUUGCUGCUGAGGCAGGAGAGAAUAAUUGUGUAAAGAGGGGGCUCCCGCAGUGCAGGACAGGAAGCCACCAUGUGAGCACCACAUCCACGUGCAGGUCGCAGGCUUCAUCAUGUCCUGAAUACCAUGCCUUAGCAUUUUAUAUUUCAGGUUUCUACUUCUACAUCUCCAGCCCUGAAUACUCAUGGAAUAUCGCUGUACCUAUGACAGGUUGCAUGAUUUUUCCCCCUCUGUGCACUCAAUUUGUGUAUUAUUGUAUCAUAUGACAUUCUGAAUCAAGUGCUGCUAGUACCAAGCUGCUAUCAUCAGCUGAUGCCAAAAAUAUUCGUUAUAACACUUCUCAGCAUGCAAGUGAGAGCACUUCAAAUCACACAGACAGAAUUUCCAGCCAUUGUUCUUUUCUUCUUUGCUUAUUAUACAGCAACAAGAAUCAAAACAAAAGGGGAUUUAUUAGAAAAUAAUGCUUCAGUAAAAUGUUAUAAAACAUGAGGUUUAUUGUUUGUGAAGAUAGAGUGAAAUUCAGUACCACAUUAUAGAUACCACCUCAGAGGCCUAUUUUCCCCUUCUUUUCUCUUUUCUCAAAUGUUUUUCAAGUGGCAUCUUUUUUUCAGUCUUUGAUUACAUUAAGGUGCAAACUAUUUAUCCAUCUGGAAAUAAGCAAUACUGUCAACAGAGAACCAGGAAAUGAAAAGUGCAGCCGGCCAUAUGCCUUCUCUACGGCCUCUUUAUGUUACUGUGCUGAUCAGGACAAAUGCAGUACCUAUGGUAGCAAUAGGGAGAGUGAAAAUAUGUAUUCUCCAAGGGAAGACAAUUAAAAGACAAAUUCCAUCAGGAAGAUUUGUCAUUUUUUGAGAGUGCUGAUCCUGCAUCUAUCAGCAAAUUUCACAUAAAUUAAUUCAUUUUACAGAGUGAAUGCUGAAACUUGGAAGCCAACUGACAAGAUGCCAGGGAUGGCAUGGCAAGGAAGAGAGAGCCUUCAUGGCAAUUUUGAAUACCUGAUCUCUUGCUUUCAUCAUCUUGUCUAGGGGAAGAAACACGGAGCCUGGUAGUUGGGAGGUGAGAGGCAGGAAUGGAUACCAGAGAUGGACAGACAGUGGGGUGGUGAGAAGGGAGCUGCAAUUUGCUAAUCCUUGUAGUACUACCUGUCAAUCAUCUUGCUUUCCUUAAUCAUCGAUCCUGGAGAGACUUUGAGGAAAGGGCUGGUGGAGUUGCGCAGAUGUGAUCUUCAUUUCAGCCUUAUGAAUACAUACCAAGGUCUCUUUAAAUCUGUGGUUCCUGCACAAAGUGCUGUGACUUCAGGCUAAUAGAGAGGUCCAGAUGUCACAUGUGCCAAUUAGAAAGAAAUGAGGACCAUGGCUAUGGCCCACUGUGUUCAGAAGACACGCCCAAGCCACCCAUUGUCAUUCAUUGUGUCUAAUACUUGACCUGUCCUGCUGUUUAUUAUGUGGGGUGGCUCCAUAUUUUAAAAACUGUAUUCAUAAAAAGAUAUUUCUCAUCCUGCUGAGUCUCAGGCCCAUUGUUGUAGGUGAGGUGGUUUCUUUUGUUUGAUAUAUAACGUUUUGCUGACUUUCGACUUGGGAAUUGCAAAGGCUUACCCAAAACCCUGAAGGAAAAGCUAAGAAUUCAUACUUAUUAAGCACUUGGUAGGUGUCUGACACUGUAGUAGAUAUAUGCGAGAGCCCAGAACAAGCUGAUGUCCAUGUACAUAUCUUUAAAAAAUAUAAUGAUCUAGUCUUAUCUGUGGAAACUGCUUCAGAUACUGAUCUUAC
This 1938-nucleotide long non-coding RNA is filed under the name Homo sapiens (human). RNAcentral's name for it is "HSALNT0374839". The record is from RNAcentral. Lineage: Eukaryota; Metazoa; Chordata; Mammalia; Primates; Hominidae.